CCUACGGGGGGCAGCAGUGGGGAAUAUUGGGCAAUGGGCGCAAGCCUGACCCAGCAACGCCGCGUGAAGGAAGAAGGCUUUCGGGUUGUAAACUUCUUUUGUCAGGGACGAAGCAAGUGACGGUACCUGACGAAUAAGCCACGGCUAACUACGUGCCAGCAGCCGCGGUAAUACGUAUGGUGCAAGCGUUAUCCGGAUUUACUGGGUGUAAAGGGAGCGCAGGCGGCACGGCAAGCCUGAUGUGAAAGCCCGCGGCCCAACCGCGGGACUGCUCUUGGAACUGCGUGGCUGGAGUGCAGGAGGGG
RNAcentral lists this ribosomal RNA (305 nucleotides) under uncultured bacterium. RNAcentral's name for it is "bacterial SSU rRNA". It matches the Rfam family "Bacterial small subunit ribosomal RNA", at positions 338 to 657 of the family's 1533-position model. The record is from RNAcentral.